UCACACCCUCCACAUGGCUGAGCCAAUAUUAAACCCAAACACAAUAUUUUUCCUAUAAAUCAAUUUGUUCCCGGACUUUGGUUUCUCCCUGGGUCACCUGACCCGCGGAGGCACGUCACCUAGUGCUACUUAACAGGUUACCCGGAACUGCCUCUGUUCAGUCCAUGAAGCGGAGACAGAAGGUGAGUGUGUAUGUGUGUGCGUGUACGUGUAAGCGAGACCCGUGUAGGUGUUUGAGUGUGCACCCUCUAACACCAACCACGGGGACGCAAGAGUCCAAUUAUUGUCUUUAAAUGUUCAUUUUGACUCCCGUCCGUCUGUCACUCCAGCCGCGAGUGACCACGCUAUUCCCCCACGUCGGCGACGAGGGAGAGCGAGAGGGAGAGAAGGCGUCCAGCCGCGAGAGAGAGCGUGCGUCCAGCCGCGAGAAAGAGAGCGGCCAGCCGCGAGGGAGAGAGCGGCCAGCCGCGAUGAGGACGGCGUUAGUGGCGCC
This is a non-coding RNA of Xyrichtys novacula (pearly razorfish), 493 nucleotides long. Lineage: Eukaryota; Metazoa; Chordata; Actinopteri; Labriformes; Labridae. The record is from the annotation of a GenBank genome assembly.